RNAcentral lists this transfer RNA (77 nucleotides) under Ruminococcaceae bacterium OttesenSCG-928-A11. RNAcentral's name for it is "tRNA-His". It matches the Rfam family "tRNA". Rfam says of the family: Transfer RNA (tRNA) molecules are approximately 80 nucleotides in length. Their secondary structure includes four short double-helical elements and three loops (D, anti-codon, and T loops). Lineage: Bacteria; Bacillati; Bacillota; Clostridia; Eubacteriales; Oscillospiraceae. The record is from RNAcentral.
GUGGGUAUAGCUCAGUCGGUUAGAGUGUCAGGUUGUGGCCCUGAAGGCCGAGGGUUCGAACCCCUCUACUCACCCCA